This is a long non-coding RNA of Ornithorhynchus anatinus (platypus), 1894 nucleotides long. RefSeq lists it as uncharacterized. The transcript is spliced from 3 exons. Lineage: Eukaryota; Metazoa; Chordata; Mammalia; Monotremata; Ornithorhynchidae. The record is from RefSeq and is a predicted model, not a curated record.
GAGAGUACAGUCUAACGUCAGACACACUCCCGGCCCACAAGGAGCUCACAGUCUAGAGAGGAGCUCACCGUCUACAGCGCUUGUGCACUUUAAUCCUUUCUUUGACACUCACGUGUGUGUAUACGUUUCUGUUUAUAUAAAAACUUUAUAUUUCUCUGUCCACUCAUUGUUUGUUCAGCUGUUUCAUCUUUAUCCGUUCGCUCUGCUUUCUGGCUUAACCUUUCCUGGCCAUCAUUGUAAAUGAUAUUUAUUAUGUGAAUCAUAUCUGCGUGUAAUAUAAAUAUAUCCACAAAUAAUUUUAGUCUCUCCCCUUAAAUUGUACACCCCUCGAGGGCAGGAAAUUCGUGCCUUGCUCCUGUAGCACAUCCAAGUGCUUAGUACAGUACCCAGCACUCAGAAGAUGCUUAGUAAAUGUCAUCGGUUGAUUGUGCUCUAGAGAGAUUUUCUCCCUAGCCCUCCGACUCCUCGCUACCCUCCCGAGAUUGGUAGGAGUUGCACAGUUUUUAUUUUGUGGAUCGGAGGUGUAAGCUCGUUCCGGGCAGGGAACACGUCUACCAACUCUGUUGGCUUGUGCUCUCCCAACUACACUGCCCUGCACACAGCAAGUGCUCAAUAAAUACGAUGGAUCGAUUGAUCGCUCGAGUGCCCAAAUGUUGCUCAGAAGUCCCUGUCAGACAGAGAGGAGAACUCAGGUGUUUGUCCCAGAGAAGUCACAGGUACCUGUGGUUGGCUAGCCUACCUAUCUAAUAGUAAGAGCAGCCUAUUUCAUGAAAGGUGCCACAUUCUGGAAUAGAUUAUUUCUCAGAGGACAGGUUGGAGAGUCAGAAUGGGUGUUCUGGUAUGAAUUAUUUGAAAUUGCUGCAGCUGAACUCGACUUCACACAGAUCCGGGAGGGGAACACCGGGAGCCGAGUGGCAGCCCCGGGAAGGUGACGGGGGUCGGGACAUAAUAAGCACGGUGGCCUACGGCAUUGUUGCCUUAUUUCAGGGUGGGAUUUACUCCUCUCGCAGCGCAGCGAUGGGGACGUCCCAGAAAGCCGAGGGUGGUGUCCCCGUGUCUGGUUCAAGAGCUCCUGGGAGUUAGAUCUUUUCUCUGGCUUCCUCCUCACCCCCACCACCCAGUCGUGCAUCUCUAGCAACUUCCCAACCUGCUGCCCUCGCUCCAGGGACUUGGCAACUCUGCCGAACCUGACUUUUCAAGCGCAGCAGAGGCCUCCGCUCUGGCCUCAAACCAGAUCCAAUCCGAUGUCUUUCGACUGGAAGCUCCACGUGGAAAGAGGACGGUCAGUGAUUCGUGGAGGUCUGCGGUCAGUGCAGGGGAGUCCCCAGCAGCAAUCGAGUACAAAAUUCUAGCAUCCGUCGUGACUUCGAGGAGAAGGCCGUCUAUCCCUUCUUGACCUGCUUUGCGUUCCUCAGCGUGAAAUGUGUCUGGUUGACUCUAUGGAACCAGACACAGACCUAACCUAAGAUUUACAGGAUGUGUUACACAACCUUUACCCAAAGGGACAUUUUAGAGUCUCAUCCCCAAGAUCCCCACAUUUUCUGAAUUUUUCUGAAGUUGAAGUAUCUUUUUCAUUACUUUUCUGUGAUCCUUUGUUGAUUCAUCUUCUGUAUCAAUCUUCUUUUCCACCUCCCUAAAUUUUGUGAGUGAAGAUCAAAGACAAAAAUAACCCGAACCGGUGAUAAAGAUGUGAGAUAUUUUAGGCAUUUGAAGGAAACUCAUUGAUAAUUUCCAUGGUUUGUCUAAUAACUCAGCCAUUAAGGACUAUAAAUCAUACAACACCUUAGCUUGUGAAAAAAGGGUGUCUGUCAGCAGAAAUUAGUUUUUGGCUCUCUAGGGUUCUGAAUACUGCUUGCCUUGAAAUUUGCUUUGAAAUAAAAAAAUGGCAGCCCGA